ACUCCUACGGGAGGCAGCAGUGGGAAUAUUGCACAAUGGGCGCAAGCCUGAUGCAGCCAUGCCGCGUGUGUGAAGAAGGCCUUCGGGUUGUAAAGCACUUUCAGUCGUGAGGAAGGUAGUGUAGUUAAUAGCUUGCUAUAUUUUGACGUUAGCGACAGAAGAAGCACCGGCUAACUCCGUGCCAGCAGCCGCGGUAAUACGGAGGGUGCGAGCGUUAAUCGGAAUUACUGGGCGUAAAGCGCAUGCAGGUGGUUUGUUAAGUCAGAUGUGAAAGCCCGGGCU
This 282-nucleotide ribosomal RNA is filed under the name uncultured bacterium. Its description in RNAcentral is "partial 16S ribosomal RNA". It matches the Rfam family "Bacterial small subunit ribosomal RNA", at positions 335 to 609 of the family's 1533-position model. The record is from RNAcentral.